This 795-nucleotide ribosomal RNA is filed under the name uncultured bacterium. Its description in RNAcentral is "bacterial SSU rRNA". It matches the Rfam family "Bacterial small subunit ribosomal RNA", at positions 54 to 860 of the family's 1533-position model. The record is from RNAcentral.
CAUGCAAGUCGAACGGAGUCAAGAGAAGCUUGCUUUUCUUGACUUAGUGGCGAACGGGUGAGUAACGCGUGAGUAACCUGCCCUGGAGUGGGGGACAACAGUUGGAAACGACUGCUAAUACCGCAUAAGCCCACGGCCCGGCAUCGGGCUGAGGGAAAAGGAUUUAUUCGCUUCAGGAUGGACUCGCGUCCAAUUAGCUAGUUGGUGAGGUAACGGCCCACCAAGGCGACGAUUGGUAGCCGGACUGAGAGGUUGAACGGCCACAUUGGAACUGAGACACGGCCCAGACUCCUACGGGAGGCAGCAGUGGGGGAUAUUGCACAAUGGGGGAAACCCUGAUGCAGCGACGCCGCGUGGAGGAAGAAGGUUUUCGGAUUGUAAACUCCUGUCGUUAGGGACGAUAAUGACGGUACCUAACAAGAAAGCACCGGCUAACUACGUGCCAGCAGCCGCGGUAAAACGUAGGGUGCAAGCGUUGUCCGGAAUUACUGGGUGUAAAGGGAGCGCAGGCGGACCGGCAAGUUGGAAGUGAAAACUAUGGGCUCAACCCAUAAAUUGCUUUCAAAACUGCUGGCCUUGAGUAGUGCAGAGGUAGGUGGAAUUCCCGGUGUAGCGGUGGAAUGCGUAGAUAUCGGGAGGAACACCAGUGGCGAAGGCGACCUACUGGGCACCAACUGACGCUGAGGCUCGAAAGCAUGGGUAGCAAACAGGAUUAGAUACCCUGGUAGUCCAUGCCGUAAACGAUGAUUACUAGGUGUUGGAGGAUUGACCCCUUCAGUGCCGCAGUUAACACAA